AGAGUUUGAUCAUGGCUCAGAACGAACGCUGGCGGCAGGCCUAACACAUGCAAGUCGAACGCCGUAGCAAUACGGAGUGGCAGACGGGUGAGUAACGCGUGGGAACAUACCCCUCGGUUCGGAAUAACUCAGGGAAACUUGAGCUAAUACCGGAUACGUCCGAGGUUUUAAUCGACCUUGGAGAAAGAUUUAUCGCCGGAGGAUUGGCCCGCGUCUGAUUAGCUUGUUGGUGAGGUAAUGGCUCACCAAGGCGACGAUCAGUAGCUGGUCUGAGAGGAUGAUCAGCCACAUUGGGACUGAGACACGGCCCAAACUCCUACGGGAGGCAGCAGUGGGGAAUAUUGGACAAUGGGCGAAAGCCUGAUCCAGCCAUGCCGCGUGAGUGAUGAAGGCCUUAGGGUUGUAAAGCUCUUUUACCCGGGAAGAUAAUGACGGUACCGGGAGAAUAAGCCCCGGCUAACUUCGUGCCAGCAGCCGCGGUAAUACGAAGGGGGCUAGCGUUGUUCGGAAUUACUGGGCGUAAAGCGCACGUAGGCGGAUCUUUAAGUCAGGGGUGAAAUCCCGAGGCUCAACCUCGGAACUGCCUUUGAUACUGGGGAUAUCGAGUCCGGGAGAGGUGAGUGGAACUGCGAGUGUAGAGGUGAAAUUCGUAGAUAUUCGCAAGAACACCAGUGGCGAAGGCGGCUCACUGGCCCGGUACUGACGCUGAGGUGCGAAAGCGUGGGGGAGCAAACAGGAUUAGAUACCCUGGUAGUCCACGCCGUAAACGAUGGAUGCUAGCCGUUAGACAGCUUGCUGUUUAGUGGCGCAGUUAACGCGUUAAGCAUCCCGCCUGGGGAGUACGGUCGCAAGAUUAAAACUCAAAGGAAUUGACGG
Molecule: ribosomal RNA, 876 nt
Filed under: uncultured bacterium
Lineage: Bacteria
Description: bacterial SSU rRNA
Rfam family: Bacterial small subunit ribosomal RNA
Source: RNAcentral